GAAAAGGGUACUUGUCGUCUUUGACACGUGGUAGCUCCCUCAUAAGAGGGGGCACUGCGCGGAAUCGCAAUCAAGAGAUUUCGAGUACAAAAUGUUUGGACUUGCGAGCUGUUGGUCUCUUUGACCGACGCUCCA
RNAcentral lists this small nuclear RNA (135 nucleotides) under Clytia hemisphaerica. RNAcentral describes it as "U11 spliceosomal RNA". It matches the Rfam family "U11 spliceosomal RNA". The record is from Rfam by way of RNAcentral. Lineage: Eukaryota; Metazoa; Cnidaria; Hydrozoa; Leptothecata; Clytiidae.